AGAGUUUGAUCAUGGCUCAGAACGAACGCUGGCGGCAGGCUUAACACAUGCAAGUCGAACGGUUGUAGCAAUACAGCAGUGGCAGACGGGUGAGUAACACGUGGGAACCUUCCUAGGGGUACGAACAACUCAGGGAAACUUGAGCUAAUACCGUAUACGUCCGUGAGGAGAAAGAUUUAUCGCCCUUAGACGGGCCCGCGUCGGAUUAGCUAGUUGGUGGGGUAACGGCCUACCAAGGCGACGAUCCGUAGCUGAUCUUAGAGGAUGAUCAGCCACACUGGGACUGAGACACGGCCCAGACUCCUACGGGAGGCAGCAGUGGGGAAUCUUGGACAAUGGGCGCAAGCCUGAUCCAGCCAUGCCGCGUGAGUGAAGAAGGUCUUCGGAUUGUAAAGCUCUUUUGCCAGGGACGAUAAUGACGGUACCUGGAGAAUAAGCCCCGGCAAACUUCGUG
This 454-nucleotide ribosomal RNA is filed under the name uncultured bacterium. RNAcentral describes it as "bacterial SSU rRNA". It matches the Rfam family "Bacterial small subunit ribosomal RNA", at positions 8 to 507 of the family's 1533-position model. The record is from RNAcentral.